This 647-nucleotide unclassified non-coding RNA is filed under the name Hevea brasiliensis (rubber tree). Lineage: Eukaryota; Viridiplantae; Streptophyta; Magnoliopsida; Malpighiales; Euphorbiaceae. The record is from RNAcentral.
GCCGGAAAAAGAUUUCUGCCUUUCCUGUUUGCCCAUGACCGCACAGAUACUGAAUCAUAGAGUUAUAAGCACCAGACCCCAUUUCCAAAGUAAAAAUAAUUUCUUUCUCAAUUAACUUAUCCAACAACUUUACUGCCCGAUCAUACUCCUCAGCCUCACAAAAAUUUUCGAUCAAGACACCAUAAUGGCCAGCCUCUGUCGGUAUGCUCAAUCGUAUCAUUGCCUUCAGCACAUCCUCAGCAGCUCUCAAAUCUCCAGCCUUGCACUGGCUAGAUAACAAACUUAUAAAGAUCGAAUUAUCUUUCGGAGCAAGAUGCACCCCUACCAUCUCCUUCAAAAUCUCUUUUGCCUCUGUCAUUUUCCCAGCAUUACAAAGCCCCGGCAACAAACUCGAAUAUGUGUGAGCAUUAGGCUUAAUACCAAAAGACUUCAUCUCCUCAAGCAAUCNNNNAUCUACAGAAACAUACCCUUUAAUCAUAGUCGUAUAACUAAUAACUGUAGGAGCUAUGUUUUUCCCCUUCAUCUCUACAAACANNNNNCCUCCUCCAUCUUUCUAAAUCUAUAAUACCCAUUGAUCAUCGUAUUAUAAGUAACCACAUCAGGGGAUAUCCCUCUAGUCUUCAUAUCCUCAUAAAACCUCAUUGCUG